GGACAACCUGCCCUCGGGAGGGGGGAUAACCCCGGGAAACUGGGGCUAAACCCCCAUAGGUGAUGGAUACUGGAAUGUUCCAUCACCGAAAGUCCGCAAGGAGCCCGAGGAUGGGUCUGCGGCGGAUUAGGUAGUUGGUGGGGUAACGGCCCACCAAGCCUAAGAUCCGUACGGGCCAUGGGAGUGGGAGCCCGGAGAUGGACCCUGAGACAAGGGUCCAGGCCCUACGGGGCGCAGCAGGCGCGAAACCUCCGCAAUGCGGGAAACCGCGACGGGGUCAGCCGGAGUGCCGAUGCUUGCAUCGGCUGUCGGGGAGCCUAAAAAGCUCCCCAUAGCAAGGGCCGGGCAAGGCCGGUGGCAGCCGCCGCGGUAAUACCGGCGGCCCGAGUGGCGGCCACUAUUAUUGGGCUUAAAGCGUCCGUAGCCGGGUUGGUUAGUCUCCCGGGAAAUCUGGCCGCUUAACGGUCAGAAUUCCGGGAGAUACUGCCAGCCUAGGGACCGGGAGAGGCCGAGGGUAUUCCCGGAGUAGGGGUGAAAUCCUAUAAUCCCGGGAGGACCACCUGUGGCGAAGGCGCUCGGCUGGAACGGGUCCGACGGUGAGGGACGAAGGCCAGGGGAGCAAACCGGAUUAGAUACCCGGGUAGUCCUGGCUGUAAACGAUGCGGACUUUGUGUCGGACAAGCUAUGAGCUUGUCCGGUG
This 700-nucleotide ribosomal RNA is filed under the name uncultured archaeon. RNAcentral describes it as "bacterial SSU rRNA". It matches the Rfam family "Archaeal small subunit ribosomal RNA", at positions 102 to 800 of the family's 1478-position model. The record is from RNAcentral.